CCCUCCAGAUGUUUGGGACUACAAUUCCCAUCAUCCCUAGCAAACAGGGCCAAUGGUGAGAGAUGAGGGGAAUUGUAGUCCCAAACAUCUGGAGGG
Podarcis lilfordi (Lilford's wall lizard) is the source of this 96-nucleotide non-coding RNA. The record is from the annotation of a GenBank genome assembly. Lineage: Eukaryota; Metazoa; Chordata; Lepidosauria; Squamata; Lacertidae.